Molecule: long non-coding RNA, 1784 nt
Organism: Leopardus geoffroyi (Geoffroy's cat)
Lineage: Eukaryota; Metazoa; Chordata; Mammalia; Carnivora; Felidae
Exons: 2
Source: RefSeq, a predicted model, not a curated record
CCAUUGAUGACCCCCCACGGGAAGGCGCACCUGCCCCCUACCCCGGCCCCUAGACCCGCGGCGGGAGCGGGAAGGCGCACCUGUUUCCCCCACCCCCCACCCCUAGACCCGCGGCGGGAGCCGGGUGUCGGCGCCCCCCGCCAGUGCCAGGACCCCUCGUGAGACGGCCCUACACCGGGGAGCUUGAGGUGCCCUCGAGGCCGAACAGAGAACAGAGCGAGGACCGCAGAGGACGUGGACGGGGCGGGGGGCGGGGGGAAACCGUCACCCCGCUUCCAAACGCUGCAUCAACACGACAGGAGAGGGCGCUCUGUGGCCGGAGCUGCGCCUCCUGCGGGAAACUCAGGAAAACUGGUGUCAGGGACAGAGGCCAGACCCCUCACGGUGACAUAAAAGGGUAUAAGGAAUAUAACAACGUCCCAACGGACAAUGGAGGUGCACCAGAAAGGCACGCAAACUGUAAACUUUUAUUUCAAAAUUAGAAAUUCUCGGAAGCGAGGUGACAGCACACAGAGUGAGAAAUAAAGGAAAAAUAAUUUUAGAAAUGAAGACUUACAGUAGAAGAGCCUGCGUGAACAGACCCGACAUUAAACACCCAGAAGGGAUACAAGGUGAAAAGGGGAAAUUUACAAAAAUAAAGAACUGAAAAAGAGGUUGCGAUGAUGUGUGAAUAGAUGGUGUGUGUCGUAGGUUGGCAGAGAAUGUCCAAAACACGGCUGAUGUGCAUUUCUUCUUUCUGAAGAAGCAAACCGAGGCCACAGAACAGAUACUAAGAGCUACACUUCCGGAAGAUUUCAGAAAGUUUUUUUCUUGAAACUAGCUAUUGAAAAGGCAAACCAUGAACCCAAGAAUAUGGAUUCUGAAUAUCUAACACCAAAAUGUAUUCUAGUAAGAUUACUGGAUCAUAAAAAGAAAGAGGGAAAUCUUUUGGGCAGGUAGGCAAAAAGAGCAGACAACUUGCAGUGGAAAGAAAAGUAUAUUAGAUCAGACUUUUCAACAUUUUCCACCAGAAGGACAAACUGUAACGCACGGUGGUGCAGUGAAUAUUCCCACAAUAUUGUAUUCCAAUCAUCAGACUUGCUAAGGGACUGGAUCUUAAUGAUCCCAAACUCAAAAAAGCAAAGAUAAUUAUGUGACCCAGAAGAGGUGCGGUGGACACAUCAGCCAUAUUGUAAUGUAUAAAUGUGUCAGAUCAACGGGUUGUGUAUCUUAAAUUGGCACAAUGUCGUGCGUCAAGUAUAUUUCAGUAAAAGAACAGCCAACGUUCGUGUACAGCACAACAAGCAGGGACACCCGGAAUAUUUCCCCAGGGCCCCCUAUGAGGCACCUGCUAGGAAUCUGUUCCCAUGAGGAACAGCCAAGCCGCCUGAUGAGACGAACGUGGGAAUUAGGUGUGUAAAUUACAUACGCGGCUAUUUGCGAGACUGAGAAUGUAUGUUACAAGACAGACAGCGUGGAAUGUCACGGCUUUAUGUUCUGAUGAUGCAGGUAGGGAACAACCAUGAAAAAUGGGGAAAGAUGAGAAAAGUAUAUGCCAAGACAUGUUUUUACCGUUUCUCAUCAUCCUGACUAUUGGUGCCGUGACUAAGACUUGCGCCUGUAAUGUUGUUUGCAUACAGCCAGCGACAGUUGGGACGGGUUUGCCUUGUAGUAUCUCGUGUCCCUGAGCAUCCACACUUCAGCAUGGAAGAAAGGAGAGGCAGAUGUCAUAUAGAAAAGAAAAAUUCUAGAACCAGUGACCAACGCAUAGCCAUGAGCCUCCCUAGUGCCCAGACUGUGGUCUU